Peromyscus maniculatus bairdii (prairie deer mouse) is the source of this 1422-nucleotide non-coding RNA. The record is from RefSeq and is a predicted model, not a curated record. NCBI's taxonomy places the organism in Eukaryota, Metazoa, Chordata, Mammalia, Rodentia, Cricetidae.
UUCCUCAUGACGCAACCCUCAACAUCCCUGGAUUGGAGAAGCAUGGGAGAAGACAGGGGCCCUCACUGCUGUCCCCGUCGGCAACAGGCACCAGGGAACAUGACCAGCACCCCUCCCUGCAGACAGAGGGUCCUGCACUCAGGCACCAACACAGGCCAUACAGCCACAGGGUAGGGUCUUCACCCAGCACACAGACAAGGCAAGCAGGGAGGGGAGAUGGCCAGCAUCCUCAGUCGGCCCUUCCUGCCUCCUCCUGCCUCCUGCGCUUGCCACCCAGCCUCUCCCCCAGUGUGCUCCAAGUUCACAGGGACCUGGGUCUCCAGCACUGGCCUAGUCAGCUCUUCUCUACCCUACCCCCAAUUUCCCAUCUGUGGAAGCCAGCCGUGAGCCUGAGGAGGAGGUGCCUCUGAGCUGUACUUCUCACCAAACAAGGAAAGAUUCAACAGCUACUGAGAUUUCAGGACCUAAAAGACAACCGCUGGACUUCACGGGACGAUGGCACCGUUGAUGGGAGCGGACACCCCACCACCACCACUCUUCACUGGGAAUGCUGCCGUGGGGGGUGAGGCCUUGCACCUCUGAAAACUGAGUUCUCAACUUGACUGUGCAGAUCCAAGUUGGGGGAACUUGACAAAGACUCAAAUGAUCAAUGCAGAAGCGGAAACGGCUGGUCCUUUUGCAGUGGUAGAGCAUUUGUGAGAAUAAGGACCUUCCCCUUCACUCCAGCCCUGCUUUCUCCCCGCAAGACCACAGAUGGAUUAAACUUCAGGGCAUUGUAGGGUUGAGCCACAGUGGGCCGUGCAUUUGGCUGACAUAUUUCCUCUACCCUCUGGGUGUCCAUGAGCAAUGUGCAUGGCCAGCUUCCUCUGGCUUCAGCUGUCCCCCCCGCUCUUCACUGUCAGCCUACUUCUUCACCCCCAAGCAAGAGCUUUCAAAAUUCGUCUGACCCAACCACACCCUUUGAAAUAAAAGUCCUGAGGCUGUGACCCAAUCACAGCCUUCAAAAUAAAAGUGCUGAGGCUGUGGGACUUCAGACUUGGCUUUGGCUCAAGAGCAGCUCCCCAGAGCCAGACUUCCUCCUCUUCCUUUUUUCUUGGAAGAGCAUUUCCAGGUCCUUGCUAUUCUGAGAAGAAAAAAAGUCUUCAGAUAAAUGUGUUCAUUCCAGCCCUCGAGAGGAACAGAGCAGAAAACCCAGGCAAAGGUGAGCAGCUUGACAAAGAACACUCCCUUGGAAACACCUUUCCUAGGGAAAUGGAAUUCCCCACUGUAGGGUCUCCUCAAACUCACCUAAUCCCCCAAGAACCAGGGUUUAGGAUGGGGAGAAUAGGCGGUGUUUUGGUCAAGACCCUCUCAAAUGGAUCAAUGCCAGAAAGGGUUUGCCCGGUCUGCCCUGUAACAUGAAUUCCCAAAUGGUCUUAUUAU